This 421-nucleotide ribosomal RNA is filed under the name uncultured bacterium. RNAcentral's name for it is "partial 16S ribosomal RNA". It matches the Rfam family "Bacterial small subunit ribosomal RNA", at positions 360 to 774 of the family's 1533-position model. The record is from RNAcentral.
AAUUUUCGGCAAUUGGGGCAACCCUGACCGAGCGACGACCCGUGAGUGAAGAAGGUCUUCGGAUUGUAAAGCUCUGUUGUAAGGGAAGAACCGUACCAGUCGGGAAUGACUGGUACCUGACGGUACCUUACCAGCAAGCCACGGCUAACUACGUGCUAGCAGCCGCGGUAAUACGUAGGUGGCAAGCGUUAUCCGGAAUUAUUGGGCGUAAAGGGAGCGCAGGCGGCUUAUGAAGUCUGAGGUUAAAGUUCGGGGCUCAACACCGUGAUGCCUUAGAAACUGGUAGGAUAGAGUGCAGGAGAGGUGAGUGGAAUUCAAUGUGUAGCGGUAAAAUGCGUAGAUAUAUGGAGGAACACCAGUGGCGAAGGCGGCUCACUGGCCUGUAACAGACGCUGAGGCUCGAAAGCGUGGGGAGCAAAUA